This is a non-coding RNA of Schistosoma mattheei, 46 nucleotides long. NCBI's taxonomy places the organism in Eukaryota, Metazoa, Platyhelminthes, Trematoda, Strigeidida, Schistosomatidae. The record is from Rfam.
CCACUGCUGAAGAGUUCCACAGUGGGACGAAACGGCCGUCCAGUGU